GGCCCGGUGGUCAAGCGGUCAAGACACCGCCCUUUCACGGCGGUAACACGAGUUCAAAUCUCGUCCGGGUCA
RNAcentral lists this transfer RNA (72 nucleotides) under Eubacterium sp. CAG:180. It matches the Rfam family "tRNA". Rfam says of the family: Transfer RNA (tRNA) molecules are approximately 80 nucleotides in length. Their secondary structure includes four short double-helical elements and three loops (D, anti-codon, and T loops). The record is from Rfam by way of RNAcentral. Lineage: Bacteria; Bacillati; Bacillota; Clostridia; Eubacteriales; Eubacteriaceae.